AGAGUUUGAUCAUGGCUCAGAUUAAACGCUGGCGGCAGGCCUAACACAUGCAAGUCGAGCGGCAGCGGAAAGUAGCUUGCUACCUUGACGGCGAGCGGCGGACGGGCGAGUAAUAUCUGGGGAUCUGCCUGAUGGAGGGGGAUAACUACUGGAAACGGUAGCUAAUACCGCAUGACCUCGAAAGAGCAAAGUGGGGGACCCUCGGGCCUCACGCCAUCGGAUGAACCCAGAUGGGAUUAGCUAGUAGGUGGGGUAACGGCUCACCCAGGCGACGAUCCCUAGCUGGUCUGAGAGGAUGACCAGCCACACUGGAACUGAGACACGGUCCAGACUCCUACGGGAGGCAGCAGUGGGGAAUAUUGCACAAUGGGCGCAAGCCUGAUGCAGCCAUGCCGCGUGUGUGAAGAAGGCCUUCGGGUUGUAAAGCACUUUCAGCGAGGAGGAAGACAUUGUGGUUAAUAACAGCAGUGAUUGACGUUACUCGCAGAAGAAGCACCGGCUAACUCCGUGCCAGCAGCCGCGGUAAUACGGAGGGUGCAAGCGUUAAUCGGAAUUACUGGGCGUAAAGCGCACGCAGGCGGUUUGUUAAGUCAGAUGUGAAAUCCCCGCGCUUAACGUGGGAACUGCAUUUGAAACUGGCAAGCUAGAGUCUUGUAGAGGGGGGUAGAAUUCCAGGUGUAGCGGUGAAAUGCGUAGAGAUCUGGAGGAAUACCGGUGGCGAAGGCGGCCCCCUGGACAAAGACUGACACUCAGGUGCGAAAGCGUGGGGAGCAAACAGGAUUAGAU
This 786-nucleotide ribosomal RNA is filed under the name uncultured Yersinia sp. RNAcentral's name for it is "bacterial SSU rRNA". It matches the Rfam family "Bacterial small subunit ribosomal RNA", at positions 8 to 783 of the family's 1533-position model. The record is from RNAcentral. Lineage: Bacteria; Pseudomonadati; Pseudomonadota; Gammaproteobacteria; Enterobacterales; Yersiniaceae.